GUAGAAUAUUGGACAUGACAUAUUCUAUCAAAUGGAUGUCAACUAAUGUCACUUUUGCACGACGUUUUGAUGUGUAUUUGGACUACCCUUUCUUCGAGCACCAGAUCCAUUGGUUCUCCAUUUUCAAUUCAUUCAUGAUGGUUAUCUUUCUCACUGGUUUGGUGUCAAUGAUAUUGAUGCGGACUCUUAGAAAUGACUAUGCCAA
RNAcentral lists this unclassified non-coding RNA (205 nucleotides) under Hevea brasiliensis (rubber tree). Lineage: Eukaryota; Viridiplantae; Streptophyta; Magnoliopsida; Malpighiales; Euphorbiaceae. The record is from RNAcentral.